This 602-nucleotide small RNA is filed under the name Pongo abelii (Sumatran orangutan). RNAcentral describes it as "retained intron". Lineage: Eukaryota; Metazoa; Chordata; Mammalia; Primates; Hominidae. The record is from RNAcentral.
AGACGUCUGCGCGCGAAUGCCGUGGCGCGAACUUGAGACUGCAGAGGCGCGCCCGGCGGAUCUGAGUGUGUUGCCCGGGCAGCAGCGCGCGGGACCAACGCGAGGAGCAGCUGACAGACGAAGAAAAGUGCUGGACUAGAAGGGAGAAUUCUGACGCCAAUAUGCAGCGGAGUAUCAUGUCAUUUUUCCACCCCAAGAAAGAGAGUAAAGUGAAGAAGCCUGAGAAGGAGGCAUCCAACAGCAGCAGAGAGACGGAGCCGCCUCCAAAGGCGGCACUGAAGGAGUGGAAUGGAGUGGUGUCCGAGAGUGACUCUCCAGUGAAGAGGCCAGGGAGGAAGGCGGCCCAGGUCCUGGGCAGCGAAGGGGAAGAGGAGGAUGAAGCCCUUAGCCCUGCUAAAGGCCAGGUAGGUCCCCAUCACCCUGCCCAUUUUUACCAGAAGAAACUAAUUCCCAUUAGCCUCUGGAACAGAGUGCAGCAGCUGUUCAGGAGAAUUCUGGAGAAAUUGCCCGGGAGAGGUGGAUGCGUUUCCUGGUUGUGUCAGGUGCGGACACGACCUGGUCCUAAUUGCCCCUGCCCUAGGACCUCGGGUGGUCUCCUUCAC